Molecule: ribosomal RNA, 627 nt
Filed under: Triticum aestivum (bread wheat)
Lineage: Eukaryota; Viridiplantae; Streptophyta; Magnoliopsida; Poales; Poaceae
Description: partial small subunit ribosomal RNA
Source: RNAcentral
CUAGCAAGCAACGAAAAAUCAGGUGGGGCGGUUAGACCACAGAGAUUUAUGGACGGAUUCCGUGAGGCGCUGGAGUUUUGUGAGUUACAAGAUCUUGGAUUCGAGGGAGAUGUUUAUACAUGGAGGAAUCACAACAUUUGUGAGCGGCUGGAUCGUGCGGUGGCAAAUGAAGAAUGGUGCAAUAUCUUUCCACAAUAUGUCGUGGUUAAUGGCGAGCCAAGACAUUCAGACCACCGGCCAGUUGUAGUUCAUACUGAGGGCUGGGAGAAGGGGUGGAAAAAAGGCGAUAGAAGUUUUCGGUUUGAAGUCAGAUGGUUGCAGAAGGAGGGAUGCAGUGAGGUGGUAAAAGAGGCAUGGGAUGAAAGCUGGGUGGUAGGGGACGGUGGUGUCUCAUCUACCCUGAGUGCAAUAGCUGGGAGAGUGACAACAUGGAGCAGAGUUGUGGGAGAACUAGAGACGAGAUUAAAGAAGGCGAAGGGUGAACUAGAACGAUGCAUGAAAGAACCCGUCUCAGAAAGGAAAGUGAGGGAGGAGGCGAGAUUAAGGGGAGAUGUAAAUGACCUGGAGGAGAAGAAGCAUACACAGCUUAAACAACGAACACAUGCUUGUGUUGGAAAUAUGCCCUAG